This 1017-nucleotide ribosomal RNA is filed under the name uncultured bacterium. RNAcentral's name for it is "bacterial SSU rRNA". It matches the Rfam family "Bacterial small subunit ribosomal RNA", at positions 355 to 1375 of the family's 1533-position model. The record is from RNAcentral.
UGAGGAAUAUUGGUCAAUGGGCGCGAGCCUGAACCAGCCAAGUAGCGUGAAGGAUGAAGGUCCUACGGAUUGUAAACUUCUUUUAUAAGGGAAUAAAGUCACCCACGUGUGGGUGUUUGUAUGUACCUUAUGAAUAAGCAUCGGCUAACUCCGUGCCAGCAGCCGCGGUAAUACGGAGGAUGCGAGCGUUAUCCGGAUUUAUUGGGUUUAAAGGGAGCGUAGACGGGCCGUUAAGUCAGCUGUGAAAGUUUGAGGCUCAACCUUAAAAUUGCAGUUGAUACUGGCGUCCUUGAGUACGGUUGAGGCAGGCGGAAUUCGUGGUGUAGCGGUGAAAUGCUUAGAUAUCACGAAGAACCCCGAUUGCGAAGGCAGCCUGCUAAACCGCCACUGACGUUGAGGCUCGAAAGUGUGGGUAUCAAACAGGAUUAGAUACCCUGGUAGUCCACACGGUAAACGAUGGAUACUCGCUGUUGGCGAUAGACUGUCAGCGGCUUAGCGAAAGCGUUAAGUAUCCCACCUGGGGAGUACGCCGGCAACGGUGAAACUCAAAGGAAUUGACGGGGGCCCGCACAAGCGGAGGAACAUGUGGUUUAAUUCGAUGAUACGCGAGGAACCUUACCCGGGCUUAAAUUGCAGACGAAUUGCUUGGAAACAGGCAAGCCGCAAGGCGUCUGUGAAGGUGCUGCAUGGUUGUCGUCAGCUCGUGCCGUGAGGUGUCGGCUUAAGUGCCAUAACGAGCGCAACCCUCGUGUCCAGUUACUAGCAGGUUAUGCUGAGGACUCUGGACAGACUGCCAUCGUAAGAUGUGAGGAAGGUGGGGAUGACGUCAAAUCAGCACGGCCCUUACGUCCGGGGCUACACACGUGUUACAAUGGGGGGUACAGCAGGCAGCUACCGGGCGACCGGAUGCCAAUCCCGAAAGCCUCUCUCAGUUCGGACUGGAGUCUGCAACCCGACUCCACGAAGCUGGAUUCGCUAGUAAUCGCGCAUCAGCCACGGCGCGGUGAAUACGUUCCC